This 26-nucleotide non-coding RNA is filed under the name Homo sapiens (human). The record is from RNAcentral. Lineage: Eukaryota; Metazoa; Chordata; Mammalia; Primates; Hominidae.
UGAGGAGUGUUACUGGUGAUGUUAAC